ACGGCUCAGUAACACGUCGGUAACCUACCCUCGGGAGGGGGAUAACCCCGGGAAACUGGGGCUAAUUCCCCAUAGGCCUGAGGUACUGGAAGGUCCUCAGGCCGAAAGGAACUUAUGUCCGCCCGAGGAUGGGCCGGCGGCCGAUUAGGUAGUUGGUGGGGUAAUGGCCCACCAAGCCGAAGAUCGGUACGGGCUGUGAGAGCAGGAGCCCGGAGAUGGACACUGAGACACGGGUCCAGGCCCUACGGGGCGCAGCAGGCGCGAAACCUCCGCAAUGCGGGAAACCGCGACGGGGGGACCCCGAGUGCCGUGGCAACGCCACGGCUUUUCCGGAGUGUAAAAAGCUCCGGGAAUAAGGGCUGGGCAAGGCCGGUGGCAGCCGCCGCGGUAAUACCGGCGGCCCGAGUGGUGGCCGCUAUUAUUGGGCCUAAAGCGUCCGUAGCCGGGCCCGUAAGUCCCUGGCGAAAUCCCACGGCUCAACCGUGGGGCUUGCUGGGGAUACUGCGGGUCUUGGGACCGGGAGAGGCGGGGGGUACCCCUGGGGUAGGGGUGAAAUCCUAUAAUCCCAGGGGGACCGCCAGUGGCGAAGGCGCCCCGCUGGAACGGGUCCGACGGUGAGGGACGAAGGCCAGGGGAGCAAACCGGAUUAGAUACCCGGGUAGUCCUGGCUGUAAAGGAUGCGGGCUAGGUGUCGGGUGAGCUUCGAGCUCGCCCGGUGCCGUAGGGAAGCCGUUAAGCCCGCCG
RNAcentral lists this ribosomal RNA (744 nucleotides) under uncultured archaeon. Its description in RNAcentral is "bacterial SSU rRNA". It matches the Rfam family "Archaeal small subunit ribosomal RNA", at positions 85 to 826 of the family's 1478-position model. The record is from RNAcentral.